UGUCCCCUCAGCCAGUCCUGUGCCUACCGCCUUUGUGCUGUCCUUGGAGGCAGAAGCAGGAUGACAAUGAGGGCAA
RNAcentral lists this microRNA precursor (76 nucleotides) under Pan troglodytes (chimpanzee). RNAcentral describes it as "miRNA". It matches the Rfam family "mir-1910 microRNA precursor family". Lineage: Eukaryota; Metazoa; Chordata; Mammalia; Primates; Hominidae. The record is from RNAcentral.